AUUCGAAAAUGGCAAACUUGUCGAAAGACAAGGACGCAAAGCUGAGGGUCUACGGUUCCCGCGAACUAUGACAGCCUGGUUACCGAA
RNAcentral lists this non-coding RNA (87 nucleotides) under Paenibacillus ferrarius. RNAcentral's name for it is "c-di-GMP sequence". It matches the Rfam family "c-di-GMP-I riboswitch aptamer". From Rfam's summary of the family: GEMM was predicted in a large-scale screen for bacterial structured RNA regulatory elements. Genes associated with GEMM are involved in a diverse array of functions, including chemotaxis regulation, signal transduction, secretion and chitin. The record is from Rfam by way of RNAcentral. Lineage: Bacteria; Bacillati; Bacillota; Bacilli; Caryophanales; Paenibacillaceae.